RNAcentral lists this unclassified non-coding RNA (391 nucleotides) under soil metagenome. RNAcentral describes it as "partial contains 5.8S ribosomal RNA, internal transcribed spacer 2, and large subunit ribosomal RNA". The stretch from base 1 to 122 matches the Rfam family "5.8S ribosomal RNA", at positions 35 to 154 of the family's 154-position model. The record is from RNAcentral.
GAUGAAGAACGCAGCGAAAUGCGAUACUUGGUGUGAAUUGCAGAAUCCCGUGAACCAUCGAGUCUUUGAACGCAAGUUGCGCCCGAAGCCAUUAGGCCGAGGGCACGCCUGCCUGGGCGUCACACGUCGUUGCCCCCCCAUCUACUCCUUCGGGAUUGCGGGGGGCGGAUGAUGGCCUCCCGUGCGCCUCGUCGCGCGGUUGGCAUAAAUGCCAAGUCCUCGGCGACGCACGCCACGACAAUCGGUGGUUGCGAAACCUCGGUUGCCCGUCGUGUGCGGUCGUCGCGCAUCGAGGGCUCGAAAAAAUUGCCGGGCUCCGGCUCGGCUUUCAACGCGACCCCAGGUCAGGCGGGGUUACCCGCUGAAUUUAAGCAUAUCAAUAAGCGAAGGA